RNAcentral lists this long non-coding RNA (676 nucleotides) under Felis catus (domestic cat). RNAcentral's name for it is "lncRNA (ENSFCAG00000052407.1)". Lineage: Eukaryota; Metazoa; Chordata; Mammalia; Carnivora; Felidae. The record is from RNAcentral.
AUGGAAGUGCCACCCUGUUCGGAAGACUCUCUGAAGUCCAACUGUGCUCCCGAAAUAGGAAAGGUGGGGACACUUGCAAAGGAACUCCAGGGAGGGGAGGCAGUGGUGGCGAGGCCACCUGACACUUCCCUCUGUCUUUGCCUAGCCUCUGGACCUGCUCCAGAUCACCUCUCCUGGCGUGUGCUUUCCCUCGCUCCUCGCUCUCAGAGCUGGACACGCACAGGAAGUCCGAGCCAGUGUCCACUCUUCAAGGUAAGGGACUCAAGCAACUGCUUAAGGAUGCUGCUAGAACAGAGGCCAUAAACAUGAGACAUGUGGAUCUACGGCUGUACUAUUUACUGGCGUGUGUGACUCGGGCAGCUAAAGUGCGACCAUUUGUCACAUGGAGUGGCAACGGGAUGGCCAGACUGGAACAUUUUUUUCCUCCAUCUUUGUGAAUACAAAGCCUUUUCCACCCCAGGUGAGCUUGGGUAGAGAAGCUGGAAGGAUUGGGAUUCACACAGCUUAGACCCAGACACGCAUUUUUGCUCAUUUUUUAUUCUGAUCGGGGUUAUUUGAUUCUAGAAAGGUGGCAUGUGGGAGUAAAAAGAGUACCAAGAGGAGGGAAGUGGGGAGGAGGCACUUCCCAGGAGUGCCAGUCAAUAAAGAGUAUCUUUAUUGAUACUCUUUAUUGUAC